UGGUAAAUAACUAGAAGUGGCUUAUGAUGCACGUGAGGACAAAGCCGAAAACAAAUGUCUACAUGAACAACAGCGGGUGGAACCAACAGGAUCUACGUUUGAUGAUUUGAUACCACCUACAGCCAGACAGAACCUGGCUGACACAUAUGUUACAUGUACUAUGCAGUCUAUACUAUCCAAGUAUGCACAAUUGUGUACAUAAGCCUAACCAUGUCUUACUCCACAUAUAGGGUAAUUACAGACGGAAGCAUGCGCUAUACUACAUCAUAUUUCAUACAUCAUACUACUACUACAUACAAGAGUAGCUCUCAGAGCAUUGGCAGCGUCUUGGGCAGUUCAAACUUGGCGCUCUACCAAUUACUCAUAGCUGUGCUCCCUAGUCAUUGGUCAAUGCUACAUUCAAAUGAACUUCCAUAUAUGGUGUAGUCACGUGUUCUAUUCCUAAAAUAGCCUAGUUAGCUAGUAACAUAAACAUCUGGUACAAAUACUCUAUACGCCUUUUAUCUUAUUUGUCUCAGUCUCUUCUUCCAGCGUCCGGCAAAGUAAAAAAAAAUAGACUGGACAUAUUUUUUGAACGUGUUCGCCUUUUUCUUAGGCAUUUUGGCAUCAACAAAACUGGUACCUGUGAACUUGCUAAUAAGGCUACCUAAGAAUGAUCAUGAAUGUCUUAUGCUACGGUCACAUUUCCAAACCGGAAGUUACCGGAAUAACAAAAAUAAAGCUACAUUUAUGAAGGAUAGACAUCCAAAUUAACAAUAUUCAAAUACAAUCCAAUAGAGAUUGAAUUGUAUUCGAAAAAGUAAAGCUGUUUAUGGUCGUUUAUCUGUUCACAGAUUAUGGCCACUACUUAUUUUCUUUGCAUUUUGUGUGUUUUAGGCCCUCUACAUACUUCUAAUUUGUUCACGAGAGCUGCCCAAUCGGACCCCGGUUUGGAACUGUUACCAUAAAACUACCCCCAGCUUAGAGGAGCGAAAGUUGCCUGGUCGGUUCCCGUUUGGAAAUGUGACCGUAACAUUACCCUUAUUUUUGAGGAGCUGUUGAAGAUCUUGUUUGAGAGAUCUAUUAAUUCUUUUGGCAAAUCUUUUAUCGAAUAUUGUGUUGACCCUUUCACCUCACCUAGUAUUGGGCCACAGAAAGUAGCUAUUGUGGAUGACAUCAGCGCGAAUAAUCCUUGCUCUCAGAAAAUUGUAAAGAGAAAAUAUCAAAAUGAGAAAAUAUGCCUUGUACUAGCCUUGAUUGUACUAGUAGAAGUGACACUACUGUGGUAGCAAUGAGUAUAGUUGUUGAAGUGAAAAUAGUUCGGAGGUUGUGGAGGUAAUAGAGCGAAGUUUCCAACUUGCUUCGAACAAGAAUAAAAGACAUGUUAGCUCAAAAUGAUACAUGACCAUGUUUUGCACUACCAUUGUUGUUACAACGUUUAUGAUGUCCAUGUUUUGAAAAUUUAGGCAUCUUGUUUUUAUAGUCACGUUGUUUUUUCACCUUAUUGUAUAAAAUUUGGAGUCUGCAGCGGAUGUCAUCCAUAUAAUUUAUAUGCUGUGGCCUUUUGGGUGUCGCCUGUACCAUGCGGUGACAUGCCGCCCCGGUAACUAAGACCACAUGUACAGGAGUAGGGAGACAGAGACGUGGCAGUUAGGAAGGAGCACAGCUACAGCUAGCAAGACGCGCCUUGGACGGUUCACAGAGGCCUGGAGAACAGACCAAAAUUGAACUUUCACAAGAAGGACGGAUAAAGAGCGAGUGAACUGUAGUCUGGAUGCCAGACUGUUUCCAUGGCCUGCACAGGCAAACUUCUCGGCACUAGGGCCAGCAUGCCCCAAAGGAAGGCCUCAUGAUUAAAAUUUCAUUGGGGGUAUCUUUGUCCUGGAGCUGGGCUGUGUAGGCCCUAGAAACAAACAUUCUGACGUCGAGGCUAAUGGAACUGAGGUCCGUAGCGGGCAGGCCUGGUAGCAGGCUGAUGACGAGCCGUUAACUGGCAACGAGCAGUGACCAGCGACCCGGGAAGAGGAAAGAACACAUUACCCUGGUAUCCAGAGAACAGCGCUCGCGGCUACGGUUCUUUCCCGGGCCGCUAGCAACAUAGCCCCGUAAACCGACUUUAGCCGGCCCGGGGAGAUACGCCACCGCUUAGCCGGCUAAGUUGUACUCUGAUCGUAAACUUCCUUAGCCGGCUAAGUUGUACUCUAAUAUCCAGGGUAAGAACAUAUAGAACUUUGAGGCCCGACCCCAGACUCCGAGGCCGCUGGUCCGGAAAUCUCGGACGAUGCAGAGGGGCAAAACGGCCACGCGGCACUGAGGUCCGAGCGGGAAAGAGAUUUGGUGACUGUUUGACUGAGGAAAGCCCCGGCCAGAAAUGUUCCAGUCAACAUGACGACGACCUUGACUGUUUCAAAAGAAACAUGGACUGGUUCCACUGACAUGGACUUGCAAAAUGGAGACAAAUGGCCGGAUGCUGAGGAUUCGAGUAACUAAUCGCCUUGAUGUAUGAAUUUCUCCUCAGACUAACUAUACAGGACAAGAGCGACAACGACGAGAUGUACCUGACACCCGUACCUGUGUCCAUCAGGACGAAACAGUUCCGUCACAAAGUCAGUCGAGUCCUUCUACUGCAAGUCACUGAGACGAGCUGUAUCGCUGAAGGGACCGGAAUAGACGUCUGUGCACCUUAUAAAGUCGGGAAGGAGCUACACAUCACCCAGAACCGCACCGUCCACAGAAGGAAGGCAACGAGAGGGCCUAAGGAAUGCCAGAACAGUAGCAGAUCUGGAGCAGCAAAUCGAUUGCACUGCCACAACCACAGAAAACCUAAAACUAGUUAGACAAUUCACGGGCUGGUUUUGGCUGAUUUAUACCAUGAAUAUGUAUCUAUAAUGUGUAUAUAUUAUAGUAGUGGAUUUUAUAUGUACAACAAAGAACCGUAAAUAAGUUUACCACAGCGACGACGGACCUAAUCAAACCGGAGGUGUAUGUACUAAUGAAGAAAACCAACAUAAGAAUAUGCAGAAGUGGCCAUCGCUGGGAGAAGCCAGAAUAUACAUUUGUGCGGCUUGAAAAUUCUGAACAGAGGGGAGCCACACAACACCCAGAACAGCGCCAUCUACAUGAGGGAAGUAGAGGCCAGUAGCAGAGCCAAGACGUACAGCCGAUAGAUUGCGAUCAUACUUGUACAUGUAUAGAUAACCUGACAUGACACCAGUUAUAGAAUUCACGGAUUGACUGAUUGAUCGACUGUUUAUAUCACGAAUAUGUAUUUUAGUGUAUACAUUUUAGUGGUUGAUUUUAUAUGUAUAUGAAUGGACAGUAGAUGAAAUAACCGUUGUUUUGUGGUGUGACAAGACCUGUCUGUUUGAUACGCCAAAAUGUGACCACGAGAUAUAAUGUAUUUGUAUGACAGAGAGUCAGAGAGUAUAGUUUAGAAGAGAAAGAGAGAUCCGCAGCUAAGAACGAGGUUAGCGAGGCCAGCAUUACUAGUAUAUAGUAACGUCAAACCAUCUUAACAGUCUCCCGUGCCCAGUGUACGGAAAACCUUG
This is a long non-coding RNA of Branchiostoma floridae (Florida lancelet), 3527 nucleotides long. RefSeq lists it as uncharacterized. Lineage: Eukaryota; Metazoa; Chordata; Leptocardii; Amphioxiformes; Branchiostomatidae. The record is from RefSeq and is a predicted model, not a curated record. The transcript has 3 exons.